This 234-nucleotide ribosomal RNA is filed under the name uncultured bacterium. RNAcentral's name for it is "partial 23S ribosomal RNA". It matches the Rfam family "Bacterial large subunit ribosomal RNA", at positions 1070 to 1296 of the family's 2925-position model. The record is from RNAcentral.
CGGCCGCGUCGACGGCACCGUGACAACCAGGAGGUUGGCUUAGAAGCAGCCACCCUUGAAGAGUGCGUAAUAGCUCACUGGUCGAUGUGCUGCGGCGCCGACAAUCCACCGGGCGUCAAGCAUAGUACCGAAGCUGCGGAUUCGAAAGAAUGGUAGGGAGCGUCGUGGUCGGCAGUGAAGGUGAUCUGGAAGGAUUGCUGGAGUGGCCACGAGUGAGAAUGGUCGACGCGGCCG